This 492-nucleotide ribosomal RNA is filed under the name uncultured bacterium. RNAcentral's name for it is "partial 16S ribosomal RNA". It matches the Rfam family "Bacterial small subunit ribosomal RNA", at positions 29 to 507 of the family's 1533-position model. The record is from RNAcentral.
AGUGAACGCUGGCGGUAGGCCUAACACAUGCAAGUCGAACGGCAGCACAGUAAGAGCUUGCUCUUACGGGUGGCGAGUGGCGGACGGGUGAGGAAUACAUCGGAAUCUACUUUUUCGUGGGGGAUAACGUAGGGAAACUUACGCUAAUACCGCAUACGACCUACGGGUGAAAGCAGGGGAUCUUCGGACCUUGCGCGAUUGAAUGAGCCGAUGUCGGAUUAGCUAGUUGGCGGGGUAAAGGCCCACCAAGGCGACGAUCCGUAGCUGGUCUGAGAGGAUGAUCAGCCACACUGGAACUGAGACACGGUCCAGACUCCUACGGGAGGCAGCAGUGGGGAAUAUUGGACAAUGGGCGCAAGCCUGAUCCAGCAAUACCGCGUGGGUGAAGAAGGCCUUCGGGUUGUAAAGCCCUCUUGUUGGGAAAGAAAAGCAGCAGGUUAAUACCCCGCUGUUCUGACGGUACCCAAAGAAUAAGCACCGGCUAACUUCGUG